AGCACAUCCUUUGUACUCAUUUAGAAACGUAACUCUGAAUUUCUCUGUCUCUGCAAAGGGGUAAUUCCUGGGUGUUCUUCAGUGGUGAGUGAAGGCAUUUUUGCACAUGCUAUCGGAUGAACUGAGUCUAGAAUUUUGGUGAGACAUAUUUGAUACCGAAAAAAGUGAACCCCAGGAGAGGGCUCCAAGCUUCAGCUCUUGUCUGAGACUGUCCUGCACUGUGGCUGUAUGAUUACCAUAGCCCUUGACUUCUGAAUGGCAAAUGGCACCUGAAAGAGAAAUCACUAAGUCACAGGGUCGGCUCCAUCCUACUCCUCUAUACUAUACAGGUGACCUUCCUGCUUCCUGCUUCCUGCUUCCUGCUUCCUGCUUCCUGCUUCCUGCUUCCUGCUUCCUGCUUCCUGCUUCAGACUGCAGACCAGGGCUUGGACUUGGCUGUGUUCCUCUGCUGAAGGUUACAGCUACUGCUGCACAGCUGUCUUUGUACAGAUCUCCCCAGAUAAAGCCACAAUGUAAGGUUCCAGGUGGCCACACUUAUUUGGAGACACCAUUUAACACGGUUCUGCUUCUACUUCCAUGAGAACCUAGUGAAGAAGACACAGCCAGAGCUUUGAUCAAAGAUUCCAAAUGCAAAUACAACUAACCACCCAACUGGUCCCAUCAGCCAAUGUAUCUCUUUGUUACCUCAAGGGAGAUUGAUUUACGCUUUCAUCAAUAAAUCUUCAUAUUUUCAA
RNAcentral lists this long non-coding RNA (734 nucleotides) under Mus musculus (house mouse). Its description in RNAcentral is "RIKEN cDNA 1700023F02 gene, transcript variant 6 (1700023F02Rik)". The record is from RNAcentral. Lineage: Eukaryota; Metazoa; Chordata; Mammalia; Rodentia; Muridae.